Molecule: ribosomal RNA, 841 nt
Filed under: uncultured Burkholderiales bacterium
Lineage: Bacteria; Pseudomonadati; Pseudomonadota; Betaproteobacteria; Burkholderiales
Description: bacterial SSU rRNA
Rfam family: Bacterial small subunit ribosomal RNA
Source: RNAcentral
GGGUAGAAUUCCACGUGUAGCAGUGAAAUGCGUAGAUAUGUGGAGGAAUACCAAAUGGCGAAGGCAGCCCCGUGGGAUAACACUGACGCUCAUGCACGAAAGCGUGGGGAGCAAACAGGAUUAGAUACCCUGGUAGUCCACGCCCUAAACGACGCUGACUAGUUGUUGGGAAUUUACAUUCUCAGUAACGUAGCUAACGCGUGAAGUCAGCCGCCUGGGGAGUACGGUCGCAAGAUUAAAACUCAAAGGAAUUGACGGGGACCCGCACAAGCGGUGGAUGAUGUGGAUUAAUUCGAUGCAACGCGAAAAACCUUACCUACCCUUGACAUGUCACUAACGAAGUAGAGAUACAUUAGGUGCCCGUAAGGGAAAGUGAACACAGGUGCUGCAUGACUGUCGUCAGCUCGUGUCGUGAGAUGUUGGGUUAAGUCCCGCAACGAGCGCAACCCUUGUCUUUAGUUGCUACGAAAGAGCACUCUAAAGAGACUGCCGGUGACAAACCGGAGGAAGGUGGGGAUGACGUCAAGUCCUCAUGGCCCUUAUGGGUAGGGCUUCACACGUCAUACAAUGGUGCAUACAGAGGGUUGCCAACCCGCAAGGGGGAGCUAAUCUCAGAAAAUGCAUCGUAGUCCGGAUCGAAGCCUGCAACUCGACUUCGUGAAGCUGGAAUCGCUAGUAAUCGCGGAUCAGAAUGUCGCGGUGAAUACGUUCCCGGGUCUUGUACACACCGCCCGUCAUACCAUGGGAGUGGGUUUUGCCAGAAGCCGUUAGCCUAACCGCAAGGAGGGCGACUGCCACGGCAGGGUUCAUGACUGGGGUAAAGUCGUAACAAGGUAACCGU